GAUGAACGCUGGCGGCGUGCCUAAUACAUGCAAGUCGAGCGAACGGACGAGAAGCUUGCUUCUCUGAUGUUAGCGGAGGACGGGUGAGUAACACGUGGAUAACCUCCCUAUCAGACUGGGAUAACUUCGGGAAACCGGAGCUAAUACCGGAUGAUCUUUUGAACCGCAUGGUUCAAAAGUGAAAGACGGUCUUGCUGUCACUUAUAGAUGGAUCCGCGCUGCAUUAGCUAGUUGGUAAGGUAACGGCUUACCAAGGCAACGAUGCAUAGCCGACCUGAGAGGGGGAUCGGCCACACUGGAACGGAGACACGGUCCAGACUCCUACGGGAGGCAGCAGUAGGGAAUCUGCCGCAAUGGGCGAAAGCCUUACGGAGCAACGCCGCGUGAGUGAUGAAGGUCUUCGGAUCGUAAAACUCUGUUAUUAGGGAAGAACAUAUGUGUAAUUAACUGUGCACAUCUUGACGGUACCUAAUCAGAAAGCCACGGCUAACUACGUG
Molecule: ribosomal RNA, 497 nt
Filed under: uncultured bacterium
Lineage: Bacteria
Description: partial 16S ribosomal RNA
Rfam family: Bacterial small subunit ribosomal RNA
Source: RNAcentral